This 84-nucleotide microRNA precursor is filed under the name Bombyx mori (domestic silkworm). RNAcentral describes it as "mir-2807 microRNA precursor family". It matches the Rfam family "mir-2807 microRNA precursor family". Lineage: Eukaryota; Metazoa; Arthropoda; Insecta; Lepidoptera; Bombycidae. The record is from Rfam by way of RNAcentral.
UUAACUAAAAUUUGUAUGAAGUUGGAACGUUUGCCUAAGUUUGCCGCUAAGGGCGCUGUUCCAACUGCAUACAAAUUUGAGUUA